This 816-nucleotide long non-coding RNA is filed under the name Nicotiana benthamiana. RNAcentral's name for it is "long non-coding RNA (NBEN_LNC035478)". Lineage: Eukaryota; Viridiplantae; Streptophyta; Magnoliopsida; Solanales; Solanaceae. The record is from RNAcentral.
ACUUUCUUUUUUUCCUUAUCAAUAAAUCUGUUUACAUCGAAAAAUUUAAACCUUAUGUCACAGAAUGAUCCCAGCUUGCAACAUAUAAAAGAGGCAUCACAACAGACCUAGAGUGCAACACAGUAGAUUCCAAGUAAAUGAUCACACUAGUCAUUUUGUCUCUAACCUAUACCUAUUAUCAUGACAGAUUCAAGGUGAAGCUAAACACCAAGAGAACACAAAUUCUACUCAUGUAACUAGAAUGAAACUUCUACUAUGAUAUCCCAUCAGUCCCAAGUUAAUUACUAGAACACAAAUUCCACCAGCUACACCAGAAAUUAAUUAGAGAGACAAUGAACUAGAGCUAUAAAAUACCAUACAAUAAAGAAAUAAAACUGAAGUCAUAAAACGAAAUUGAAAACAUGUUUUGAAAUCUAGUUUUCCAAUUCUUUCUUCAACUCAAGCUUCACAUGAGUAGAACCAGAGGUUAUGUACCUGAUUACAGCAAACAGAACAGGUGAAAUGAGCUGAAAAGUGAGACAACAAGGAUAGAAGCAGCAAUAAAAUAGUAACAGCAGCAUAACAGCCUACAACCCAACAAUGGAACAGUAGAAAACCACAACAAAACUCCAAAGCAGAUUCUAAAAUAUCCAGAAUUCAAUCCAUUUUAAACCAGAAUGUGAAACUGUGAAUUUUCAGUGAUUUGAACUAAACUGUGAGGACCAGAAGAACCAAAAUCCAAGCAGAACUUUUAGUAGUUCUCCAGAAAAUUCAAGGAAUUCAAGGCUAUUUCAGAAUUUCUUGGAGAAUCGUAGCAGUUUAAGUUUUUGGGUAAUA